RNAcentral lists this ribosomal RNA (253 nucleotides) under uncultured bacterium. Its description in RNAcentral is "partial 16S ribosomal RNA". It matches the Rfam family "Bacterial small subunit ribosomal RNA", at positions 524 to 776 of the family's 1533-position model. The record is from RNAcentral.
GACGUAGGGCGCGAGCGUUGUCCGGAUUUAUUGGGCGUAAAGCGCGUGUAGGCGGCUUCGUAAGUCCGUUGUGAAAGUCCAGGGCUCAACCCUGGAAUGCCGAUGGAUACUGCGGAGCUAGAGUCCGGAAGAGGCGAGUGGAAUUCCUGGUGUAGCGGUGAAAUGCGCAGAUAUCAGGAGGAACACCAAUGGCGAAGGCAGCUCGCUGGGACGGUACUGACGCUGAGGCGCGAAAGCGUGGGGAGCAAACAGG